UAAACGUAUUCCUGAGUAACAUAUUAGGCAUUAUUUUAUUCAAAAAUUCUGACGGGAAAACAGUGACGGCGUUAAAAUAAAAGUCGUUACUGACAGUAACGAUUUAGUCCUAUUACGUAUUCUAAGACCACGACUAAUAGUUGUCUCUUCAUUUAAAAUAACGACGUCGUUCAGUGUUUUCUAAUAUAUGUGAAUAAAUACACAACUGAGCAGUAAGCCCUCAUUGAACAAAUUUUCCUUUUCAACUUAAAUCCCCUCUUCAAAAUAAACCCUCAUUCAAUAAAUUUUCCUUUUCAACUUAAAUCCCCUCUUCAAAAUAAACCCUCAUUCAAUAAGGGGCCAUUUUAAAAACGGAGGGGGUAGGGGGGCUCACACUCAGAAGAGGUAGCUGUUCUUCCCUUUUAUUCUCUCUCACUUCUUGGUAUUUUUGUUUUAUGGCGGAAAAUAAUACAUAUCAGAUGGAUCCGGGUCCACUCGACUCGUCUGUAUUGAAUGAACAACUCACCCAUAGGUCACAGGAUAAUGUGAUUUUGAAUACAAGGAGAUGCGAUGGAAAUUUUUGGGACUUCGUAAAGGACCAUCCAAUUGAUACACGAGUCUUGGAAGUGAUUAGACUAUCGGGAUUGUACGGUGUUUACAGAUCUCAUCGACCUACUAUUGAUCGUAGUUUGAUUACUUCAUUAGUUGAAAGAUGGCGUCCUGAAACUCAUACGUUCCACUUUAGGACGGGAGAAGCGACAAUCACCUUGCAAGACGUAGAGGUGUUGUAUGGCUUACCCGUGAAUGGUGAUCCAGUACUUGGGAAUGAGUUGGCGAGGAGCACAGAGGAUUGGAAAGACAUUUGUCAAAGAUUAUUAGGUUUUAGUCCACUUCCUGGAGACUUUAAAAAAAAUAGCCUCAAGGUAUCGGAACUUAAUCAACACAUGCUACGUCAUCCAAAAUUACUUGACACGGCAACACAAGAUAUGGUCAAUCAGAAGGCUAGAUGUUAUAUGUUUUGGAUGAUUGCUGGUAUGAUGAAGGCGGAUACAUCUGGAAGUAAUUUGAAGCUUAUGUACUUACCUAUGCUUGAGGACGUCAACACAAUAGGAUCUUACAGUUGGGGUAGUGCGACUCUAGCAAGCUUGUAUCACUAUCUUUGUAAGGCCUCACAGGCUAAGCAACAUGAGAUAGCGGGAUUCCUACCACUACUACAGGUAUACCUAAAAAUAUUAAUAAAAGUAUUAACUGUAUUUAUAAAAAAAAAAACUUGUUUUAGGGACGGAUUUUAGCGACACAAUUUAUGUCGUCGCUAUGUAACGACGGAUUACCUACGAAAUUACAAUUUUGUCGCCAAAAAAAGGGAAAACGAAAUGAUAUCUAAACUAACGACGGACUAGCGACAGAAUUUAAUAUCUGUUGCUAUAUUUAGGCGCUAAAAUUAAGCGCCUUUAUUUUAGCUACAAAAUUUACGACAAAUUGUUGGCGACAAAAUUUAUUACAGCUUAGUGACGGAUUUAGCGACGGAUUAUGUCUGUCGUUAGAUAAUAUGUAUGUAUCACCAUAUUUUAAUACCAAUUGCUACGGAUAUUUCCGUUGUUAACUCAAAAAAGGGUAAAAUUUAAUGUUAAUCUUAGCGACGGAACCAAUCCGUUGGUAAAAAUGUCGGCAAAAAAAAUAAAAUUUUAUUUUUAUCAAAGAAAUAAAACAAAAUGGUCUCUAAUAAACACACUAAAACUUCAAAACUGGUUUUAGGGACGGGUUUUAGCGACACAAUUUAUGUCGUCGCUUGUAACGACGGAUUACCUACGAAAUUACAAUUUUUUCGCCAAAAAAAGGGAAAACGAAAUGAUAUCUAAACUAACGACGGACUAGUGACAGAAUUUAAUAUCCGUUGCUAUAUUUAGGCGCUAAAAUUAAGCGCCUUUAUUUUGCUACAAAAUUUACGACAAAUUGUUGGCGGCAAAAAUUAUUACAGCUUAGUGACGGAUUUAGCGACGGAUUAUGUCUGUCGUUAGAUAAUAUGUAUGUAUCACCAUAUUUUAAUACCAAUUGCUACGGAUAUUUCCGUUGUUAACUCAAAAAAGGGUACAAUUUAAUGUUAAUCUUAGCGACGGAACCAAUCCGUUGGUAAAAUUGUCGGCAAAAAAAAUAAAAUUUUAUUUUUAUCAAAGAAAUAAAACAAAAUGGUCUCUAAUAAACACAUUAAAACUUCAAAACCCACUAGAACUUUCUUCAAACCCACAAAGCCACUGAAACUGCUCUUGCUCUCUCUGGCUCUGCUUAGGUUUGUCUUUGCUUCCCUUUUCUCUUCCCUUUUCUGUUAGAUAGGCUUUCUCUUCGUUUUCAAGAACAUAAAAACAUGUUCUUUUCAUCUGGCUAAUUAAUUUCUUCAAUAAUCUGUAAGUAUUAGUAGCAUUUUUGAUUCAUUGUUUAGUGCUGUAUUCAUAUGGGUUUCUUCCAUUUUUAUUCUUUGGUAAUGCAUGAUGUUGACACCCAAUUUCUUCCCUCCUUUUCAAUUUAUUUCCUUGGGCUUCUAAAAUUAUUAAUGAAAUAAAUAAUUUGUUUUCAAUACUAUUUUUUAUUUUCUACUACUAUUAAUAGCGUUACUAUUUUUUACUACCAACAUUACGAGCAUUACUUUAUCACGAUUCUUUAAUAACUCGUCAUCAUUUCAUUUCAGGAUUUGUACUUGCUAAAUUAAUUAUAAAUCAAUACUUUAGUAAGUCCUUUACUUUCUACAUAUUAAUUACUAAUUGCCUUCACAUAAUAUAUAUUGUACUAGUUACUAGUUAUUAAAUUAGAAACCCGAG
Lycium barbarum (goji berry) is the source of this 2792-nucleotide RNA transcript. It is a transcript of the gene named serine/threonine-protein phosphatase 7 long form homolog, with no coding region annotated. The record is from RefSeq and is a predicted model, not a curated record. Lineage: Eukaryota; Viridiplantae; Streptophyta; Magnoliopsida; Solanales; Solanaceae. The transcript has 2 exons.